This 253-nucleotide ribosomal RNA is filed under the name uncultured bacterium. RNAcentral's name for it is "partial 16S ribosomal RNA". It matches the Rfam family "Bacterial small subunit ribosomal RNA", at positions 524 to 776 of the family's 1533-position model. The record is from RNAcentral.
UACGUAGGGUCCGAGCGUUGUCCGGAAUUACUGGGCGUAAAGAGCUCGUAGGUGGUUUGUCGCGUUGUUCGUGAAAACUCACAGCUCAACUGUGGGCGUGCGGGCGAUACGGGCAGACUAGAGUACUGCAGGGGAGACUGGAAUUCCUGGUGUAGCGGUGGAAUGCGCAGAUAUCAGGAGGAACACCGGUGGCGAAGGCGGGUCUCUGGGCAGUAACUGACGCUGAGGAGCGAAAGCGUGGGGAGCGAACAGG